UGCAGUCGUACGAGAGUUUUUAACUCAAGUGGCGGACGGGUGAGUAACACGUAAGAAUUUGCCUUUAGGAGGGGGAUAACGACUGUAACCGGUUGCUAAUACCCCAUAUGCUAACAGUGAAAUGGAUUUUCCGCCUAAAGAGAAGCUUGCGGCCGAUUAGCUUGUUGGUGAGGUAAUGGCUCACCAAGGCGACGAUCAGUAUCUGGUUUGAGAGGACGAUCAGACACACUGGAACUGAGACACGGUCCAGACUCCUGCGGGAGGCAGCAGUAGGGAAUUUUCCGCAAUGGGCUAACGCCUGACGGAGCAAUACCGCGUGAGGGAUGACUGCCUAUGGGUUGUAAACCUCUUUUUUCAGGGAGGAACAAAUGACGUGUACCUGAAGAAUAAGCAUCGGCUAACUCCGUGCCAGCAGCCGCGGUAAGACGGAGGAUGCAAGUGUUAUCCGGAAUCACUGGGCGUAAAGCGUCUGUAGGUUGUUUAAUAAGUCAACUGUUAAAUCUUGAGGCUCAACCUCAAACUUGCAGUCGAAACUAUUAGACUAGAGUAUAGUAGGGGUAAAGGGAAUUUCCAGUGGAGCGGUGAAAUGCGUAGAUAUUGGAAAGAACACCGAUGGCGAAGGCACUUUACUGGGCUAUUACUGACACUCAGAGACGAAAGCUAGGGUAGCAAAUGGGAUUAGAUACNCCAGUAGUCCUAGCCGUAAACNAUGGAUACUAGAUGUUGCGUACUAGUUAUGCAGUAUCAAAGCUAACGCGUUAAGUAUCCCGCCUGGNNAGUAUGCUCGCAAGANUGAAACUCAAAGGAAUUGACGGGGGCCCGCACAAGCGGNGGANCAUGUGGUUUANUUCGAAGCA
Molecule: ribosomal RNA, 857 nt
Filed under: uncultured bacterium
Lineage: Bacteria
Description: bacterial SSU rRNA
Rfam family: Bacterial small subunit ribosomal RNA
Source: RNAcentral